GGUUGAUCCUGCCAGUAGUCAUAUGCUUGUCUCAAAGAUUAAGCCAUGCAUGUCUAAGAAUAAACCCUUGAACGGUGAAUCUGCGAAUGGCUCAUUAAAUCAGUUAUUGUUUAUUUGAUGGUACCUUACUACUUGGAUAACCGUAGUAAUUCUAGAGCUAAUACAUGCGCCAAACCCUGACUUUUUGAAAGGGUGCAUUUAUUAGAUUCAAACCAUCGGCUCUGGGCAACCAGCAGCCUUUGAUGGUGAGUCAUAAUAACUUAGCGAAUCGAAUGGCUUCACGCUGUCGAUGCUUCAUUCAAAUUUCUGCCCUAUCAGCUUUCAAUGGUAGGAUCUUGGCCUACCAUGGCUAUAACGGGUAACGGGGAAUUAGGGUUCGAUUCCGGAGAGGGAGCUUGAGAAACGGCUACCACAUCCGAGGAUGGCAGCAGGCGCGCAAAUUACCCAAUCCCGACACGGGGAGGUAGUGACAAUAAAUAACGAUGCUGGAUUAUUCUUAAUCCGGCAAUUGGAAUGAGAGCGAAUUAAAUCUCCACUCGAGGAACCAUUGGAGGGCAAGUCUGGUGCCAGCAGCCGCGGUAAUUCCAGCUCCAAUAGCGUAUAUUAAAGUUGUUGCAGUUAAAAAGCUCGUAGUCUGAAUCUUGGUCUGGUGUUGAGCGUCUGCGGCUUUUCAAGCUGCGUGUAUGCGAUAUUACACUGACCAGUUGUACUUCGGAGGAACGCGGGUGCUUUUUACUAAGUGCUCGUGGGAUUCCGAUAGUUUACUUUGAGAAAAAUAGAGUGUUCAAAGCAGGCGUUUAUUGCCUUUGAAUACAUUAGCAUGGGAUAAUGGAAUAGGACAUUGGUUCUAUUUUGUUGGUUUACGGACCGAUGUAAUGAUUAAUAGGAACAGUUGGGGACAUUCAUAUUCCGCGGCUAGAGGUGAAAUUCUUGGAUUCGUGGAAGAUGAACUAGUGCGAAAGCAUUUGUCAAAGAUGUUUUCAUUGAUCAAGAACGAAAGUUAGGGGAGCAAAGACGAUCAGAUACCGUCGUAGUCUUAACUAUAAACGAUGCCGACUAGGGAUCGGUGGGUGUUAAUUAAUAUGACUCCAUCGGCACCUCAUGGGAAACCAAAGUCUUUGGGUUCCGGGGGGAGUAUGGUCGCAAGGCUGAAACUUAAAGGAAUUGACGGAAGGGCACCACCAGGAGUGGAGCCUGCGGCUU
This 1203-nucleotide ribosomal RNA is filed under the name metagenome. Its description in RNAcentral is "SSU rRNA". It matches the Rfam family "Eukaryotic small subunit ribosomal RNA", at positions 6 to 1191 of the family's 1831-position model. The record is from RNAcentral.